AGGCCCAGAGAGAGAGGCAGGGUCUGUUCCACAGCCAUCGUGGCAGCUGUUGACCAGCCAUUUCCUCUCUCUUUCUCUCUG
This is a non-coding RNA of Myotis brandtii (Brandt's bat), 81 nucleotides long. The record is from Rfam. NCBI's taxonomy places the organism in Eukaryota, Metazoa, Chordata, Mammalia, Chiroptera, Vespertilionidae.